UAGUAAGUAGACAUAAAAUCACUGGAGAUUUUUUUUUUUUUCUCUGAAGGAAGAAAAUAUCUCCAUGAAACUUUUAUGCAUGUGGUUUUGGUCUUCUGGGUUGAAUCACUGUGCCAUGACUUUGAAGAUCACUCCAGAAUUCAGAGCUACUCACAGCAGCAAGUCAUGGAGGUUUUGGAGCACAAGCUCCCAGUGAACGUGGAUCAUAGCUAAUGGAGGGAAGCACAGUUACCCCAUCCGCUCUGAACAGCAGAGAGAUGGUGUGGCCCACAGAGCUUGGUCCUGCUUGUGUAAGGGCCUCUGCCUUUUGCGGUUACUGCCAGCCUAUAUUUGGACAUUUUUUUGAGGACUAUUUACCAAAGACCAGAAUUGCGAGAAAGAAAUUCCCUUGCAGUGGACCGACCACCUUUUUUUCAGGCUAUUUUGUGGAAGGAAAAUGCCAGGAGCGAGUUGAAAAAGAAGGCUUUUUGCAUACCCUGCUGCUCUGCCUGGGAGGUAAAAAGGGGUAAUCUUUUUGCACACCACAUGAAGCAGGUGAUAUUCUUUUGCUACCAGAAGGAUCUGAAAACUUUGUGAAAAUGGUGCUGUUUAAUACUUUCCCAUGGCAAAGGUUAGCUCCUACAUGUGUGUGUUGGUUGAAUAAAACAUUUUCUUAUUAAAGUGAUAUGCUUCA
This 673-nucleotide long non-coding RNA is filed under the name Anser brachyrhynchus (Pink-footed goose). Its description in RNAcentral is "lncRNA (ENSABRG00000012986.1)". The record is from RNAcentral. Lineage: Eukaryota; Metazoa; Chordata; Aves; Anseriformes; Anatidae.